RNAcentral lists this long non-coding RNA (1002 nucleotides) under Brachypodium distachyon (stiff brome). RNAcentral's name for it is "long non-coding RNA (BDIS_LNC005664)". The record is from RNAcentral. Lineage: Eukaryota; Viridiplantae; Streptophyta; Magnoliopsida; Poales; Poaceae.
AAUAAUCUUUAAUUCAUUGAUUAACUGAGCAUAUAGAAGUAUUAUACAAACCUGGUGUUGCAUUGUGUUUUUUAUAAUAAAAGUAACCUUUUCUAGCUCAAAAGAUUGUUACAUCUUGUACUAGUAGGUAAGAGACGACUAGGUGGAUAAUCAAGACACACAUUUUGUGGCUCCAUAUCCAUUUGCACUAAAUCAUCUGCUACAUAAUUAGGCUCUUUAGGACAAAGUCAAAAGGUUACUUUAGUCCGGUCGCAGCGCAUCGUCUCUUCGUUAGCGUCCCAUAGCAGCCACGUCACUGUUAAACAAAUAUGAGACGAGUUCCGCACUGCAUCGUUUCUUCUUGUUGCCCUUGCAAUAAGUUAUCUUCAGGAUUUUCUGUGCAUCCUGUUCUCUCCUCUCGGCACUGUCCUGUCCUUCCCUGCACCCUCUCUCUUCUCUUUCUCUUAGAUCUAAAAAUCUUCUCGUCACAAAUCCUUCAUUCACGUACAACCAUGGAGCUCUUUAAGGGCAAAGAUGAAUUUGUGUUGAUGUUGGGAGGGUGAGGGAGAGGCUGAUUUGAAGAUACUACUCUGCAGUCUGCGGACCACGAAUUUCGACAGAGAAAGAAUCCCAAGCUGUUCAUGGUGGCCAGCUUCGGCACUGAACCACAGCUCCCAUUUUCUCUCCCCUUCCCCCUCCUGUUAAUUUGUUUUGCUCAAAUAGAAACAACUCCUUGCGGAUUUGUGCAAGAUGGUGCUAGUGCAGAGGUCGCUCUUGGCUCUCCUCGUCGACAUGGCAGUAAAUGGUAGGUGAAGAGAAAGAAAUAGGAGAAAGCAAUAAAUAAAUUGGGAGAAGGGGCUAACGUGAUGAAGAUGACGAAGGGGAGGAGGAGCUGCGUGCAGGUGGAGAAGGAGAUGCUAUGCCGGCGAGGCGAGGCAGGAGACACUGGACUGCGGUGGAAGAAUCUCAGUCUGAUGAGAAACGAGCCAGAGGCCGCACUGGAUCAACCGCAUUAAUUGCUUU